Molecule: unclassified non-coding RNA, 288 nt
Filed under: plant metagenome
Description: partial contains small subunit ribosomal RNA, internal transcribed spacer 1, and 5.8S ribosomal RNA
Rfam family: 5.8S ribosomal RNA (bases 241-288)
Source: RNAcentral
UUUCCGUAGGUGAACCUGCGGAAGGAUCAUUAAUGAGUUGUCAUGGGGUUCGAUGCUGGCAGCCAAUUUUUGGAUGCAUGUGCUUGCCCUAACAAUCAUCUUCCAAACACCUGUGCACAUUUUUGAGGGAGUCUUGAGUUGGUUGCCGCUCUUGGGUGAUUUUCUCACAUUCCCUUAAAUCAUUAUACGCUAUUAACAAUGUUGAACGUGCUCUGUGCCGCAAGGCUAUUAAUAUAAUACAACUUUUAACAACGGAUCUCUUGGCUCUCGCAUCGAUGAAGAACGCGC